ACUGCAAAAAAAAAGAGAUGCACGUGCAAAUAGGUUUGAGGCGCGAGGUUGUGUCAGGGUCGUGAACACGAUUUCUUUCUCUUUUUGGAUGGAAGAUGGCAGGCUCCCCAAGGAUAUGCUCUACAGGCCGGUUUCUGCAUUACAAAGAUGUCUGCAAAUGUGAGGCUGGCAAUAUCAGCCCUGCUGUGUGGGAAUCUCUUGCAGAUGACCACAGUGCCUGGAGACAGGUUGUGCAUCCCUAGCAGGGACCAAAGGAGGAACGGCCUCUGGGAGGGGGAACACACAGAGAAGAAAUGUCAUGGUGCAUCUACAGCAGCACAACCAGACACCUUCACCUGCCCCAGCUGCAACAAAACAUGUCUCUCCCGUAUUGAACACUACAGCUACAGAAGGCACUGCAACCAUCCAAUAGUUUGACUUCACCCCCCCCCGUAAGGCCCAUUGUCUCCCACGACUGAUGGAUGCCAACCAGUAAUUAGUUAAUGUAUUCUCAUUUUGUGUUUUUUUGUUGUGGAUCACCCUAGUUUCUUCAGAUGAGGGUGGAAAUUUAAUAAAUAUAAAUAAAAAAUUGGGUUCCAGCUUGAGCCCUGGCAUGGGAACGGGAGCUGUGCUGCUGAAGCCCUAGCACAGAUAAUUGAACCCCAGUUGCUGGAUGUUUAAAAACUUUUCUUCUUCCUUUUUUCUUUUUACAUGUACUGUAUAUCCUGCCUUGCAAGUUGCCGCUUUCCUGGAGCUCAAGGUGGCGUAAUGUGGUUGUUGAAGAUUGAAAGAGAGAUUCCUGCUGCUUCAUGGAUUGCACAGUACACAGUCACUUCCAGCUAUAGCUGCUUUACCAUGUUCCACCUUCUCCACUGCUGUAUGAUCUAGUUUAAUGCAAUCUGAAAAGUAGGUGCCACCUCAGAUUACGCCCUGGAUAUUGGCCCUUAACCACCAAACCCACCAGAACUGCAUCUCACGCACACAGGACCCUGCCUAAGAAUUAGAAAGUUGAAAGAAAGAACCCUUACUGUACUUUCCAACUAAGAAAUCUACCAAGAAAUCUGUUGAAACCUAUCAAGAUUUUCAAGGAGUGUGUUUGAGUGUGAAAUCUCCUGGCUUACACACCUACCAGGCUCUGUGGUCCUUUUCCCCAUGAGUCCAACAAAGAAAUCAUGCAUGUCUCCUACAGAGAAAAACAAGAGGGUUACAACAGGUCAAAGUAUCAGCUGGAUUUCAGAUUUUAGAAAAGAAAUAACAGGACUAUUGUAAUGAAUGGCUUCUAAAUCUGCUAUGGUGGUGGUUGGGUGCCUUUCUUGUAGACUCUGAUUAGAUACUUGCAUUCUGAUCAUCAGGGAUGACUCCAGUGGUCACAAAUAAGUUUCUGUAAAUAACACACUGCCGCCACCAUUUUAAACCAGCUUCUCAGAAAGGGAGAUAUUGCUGAUUGUAAGUUGAGGAACUUAUGGAAUAUCAGUAUCAUGCUGAACACUUCAUUCAUUUCUUACUAUAUAAUGUUUCUGUUUAAAAAAAGUUUCAUGGAGCAGUUUGUGUAAAUGACAAUAGAUGGCCAUGCCAACUGCAUCAUGAUAGCAGUGGGCACAGCGAGCAGGUGAAGCAGGAAAGCCAAGUAAAUGUAUAUAUACGAGAGAAAAAUCCGUCUUUGGUCAUCUGUUCCCUGACAUUCAUCUCUCACUUGUGUCCUAUACCCAUCUGCAUUCAUUCAUCUUAAGAGAUUUCAGCCAUCUUUUCUUUGUCAUACCUCCUGCCAUUGCCUAUUCUGUGGCAGCACACUCAGAUGGGCAGGGAAUAAUAAUAAUUAUAAUAG
Long non-coding RNA from Podarcis muralis (Common wall lizard), 1804 nucleotides. RefSeq lists it as uncharacterized. Lineage: Eukaryota; Metazoa; Chordata; Lepidosauria; Squamata; Lacertidae. The record is from RefSeq and is a predicted model, not a curated record.